Molecule: long non-coding RNA, 888 nt
Organism: Centrocercus urophasianus (Greater sage-grouse)
Lineage: Eukaryota; Metazoa; Chordata; Aves; Galliformes; Phasianidae
Exons: 2
Source: RefSeq, a predicted model, not a curated record
CAUUAAGUUUCUAUUAUAGUUCAAUUUAUAUUGUUUUCUUUAUUUUUUACUUGAAAAUAUUUCAGAUUUAGUAAAAUGUUUUUUUUCUCUUGUCAGGAAACUCAACUCCUUGGACAGCCAAGACAAAAACAAAAAACCUUAAUCUUCUGAUGCUUUGGACCUUCUGCCAUGUUAACUACUGACUGCUUAGAACAUUGUACUUGUCCAUGUGCCUAGGCAACAAAGAGACAGGCUUCGGAGUAUGAAAACUCUGUUUCUGUAUUUCUUGUAUUAAAGCCUUAAAGUGUAUAAUGUUAUAUACUUUUUAAAAUAAUUGUAUAUAUGAACCCUUAUUUGUUUAGUGACUCAAAAUGUUCUACUUGGAGCUCAAUAAAGAAUUUUCAUUUAAGUUCCUGUUACAAAGCAAUAAUGCAACUUCACAUUCCUUUAGUGACUCUUAGCCUUACGCAGCAACUUGAAGCGCACGUGAAUUCUCAUGACUAGACUUUAAAUAUGUUUUUGGAAAUAGAUUGCCUGAUAUAUGAACAACAUGGAUAAAUUAAAUGGAGGAUCAGUGUUUCUUCUGGAACUUUAUGUAUUAGCUAAACACAAAACACCAAACAAAACUCAUAAGUAGUAGUGAUAAUCCAGUUUCCUUCAGAAACUUGUGUAACAUGGUAUUUUAAUUCCUGUCAGUUGUAUUAUGCUGCUUAUUCUCUUUCACUUGGUGUUUGCAUAGAAUUGUUUUCUCUGGUAUGCAAUCACUGGUUUUCCAGUAGUAGUCCUGAAUGAGGCUUUUACACUUUGAUUAAUCUUGUAUCUUACAGUUCUGUUUACUCAAUGCUUUCUGCUCUAUUUCAGUUGUGGUUGUGAUAAUUUGUAACAAAUAAAAUCCUGAUAAUUCAAGUC